GCUUGUAUGGCGCAACGGCAGCGCGUAGGAUUGCAGAUCCCGAGGUUGCUGGUUCGAAUCCGGCUACAAGCU
This is a transfer RNA of Lipomyces starkeyi NRRL Y-11557, 72 nucleotides long. It matches the Rfam family "tRNA". Rfam says of the family: Transfer RNA (tRNA) molecules are approximately 80 nucleotides in length. Their secondary structure includes four short double-helical elements and three loops (D, anti-codon, and T loops). The record is from Rfam. Lineage: Eukaryota; Fungi; Ascomycota; Lipomycetes; Lipomycetales; Lipomycetaceae.